GAUGAACGCUGGCGGCGUGCUUAACACAUGCAAGUCGAGCGAGAAAAAUUCUUCGGAAUUUUUCUAGCGGCGGACGGGUGAGUAACACGUGGGCAACCUGCCUCAUAGAGGGGAAUAGCCUUCCGAAAGGAAGAUUAAUACCGCAUAACAUUAUUGAAAGGCAUCUUUUAAUAAUCAAAGGAGCAAUCCGCUAUGAGAUGGGCCCGCGGCGCAUUAGCUAGUUGGUGAGGUAACGGCUCACCAAGGCGACGAUGCGUAGCCGACCUGAGAGGGUGAUCGGCCACAUUGGAACUGAGACACGGUCCAGACUCCUACGGGAGGCAGCAGUGGGGAAUAUUGCACAAUGGGGGAAACCCUGAUGCAGCAACGCCGCGUGAGUGAUGAAGGUCUUCGGAUUGUAAAGCUCUGUCUUUAGGGACGAUAAUGACGGUACCUAAGGAGGAAGCCACGGCUAACUACGUGCCAGCCGCCGCCGUAAAAC
Molecule: ribosomal RNA, 481 nt
Filed under: uncultured bacterium
Lineage: Bacteria
Description: bacterial SSU rRNA
Rfam family: Bacterial small subunit ribosomal RNA
Source: RNAcentral